GGGAGAGAGAGGAGAGGCGGGAGAGGUGGGAGAGAGAGGUAAGGUGGGAGAGAGAGGAGAUGCGGGAGAGAGAGGAGAGGUGGGAGAGGUGGGAGAGAGAGGUAAGGUGGGAGAGAGAGGAGAUGCGGGAGAGAGAGGAGAGGUGGGAGAGAGAGGAGAGGUGGGAGAGAGAGGAGAUGCGGGAGAGAGAGGAGAGGUGGGAGAGAGAGGUAAGGUGGGAGAGAGAGGAGAUGCUGGAGAGAGAGGAGAGGUGGGAGAGAGAGGAGAGGCGGGAGAGAAAGGAGAGGUAGGAGAGAGAGAGAGGCUGGCCAAUCGUCGGACCCCUGAGGAGCGCGUUCCGCCCCAAAGUGAGCUACCUGAUCUGCAGAGAGGCACAGGGGCGAAAAGAUGAAUAACAU
Oncorhynchus tshawytscha (Chinook salmon) is the source of this 398-nucleotide long non-coding RNA. The record is from Ensembl. NCBI's taxonomy places the organism in Eukaryota, Metazoa, Chordata, Actinopteri, Salmoniformes, Salmonidae.